AGGGUUCGAUUCUGGCUCAGGAUGAACGCUGGCGGCGUGCUUAACACAUGCAAGUCGAACGGGAUCCAUCAGGCUUUGCUUGGUGGUGAGAGUGGCGAACGGGUGAGUAAUGCGUGACCGACCUGCCCCAUACACCGGAAUAGCUCCUGGAAACGGGUGGUAAUGCCGGAUGCUCCGACUCCUCGCAUGGGGUGUCGGGAAAGAUUAUAUCGGUAUGGGAUGGGGUCGCGUCCUAUCAGGUAGUCGGCGGGGUAACGGCCCACCGAGCCUACGACGGGUAGCCGGCCUGAGAGGGCGACCGGCCACAUUGGGACUGAGAUACGGCCCAGACUCCUACGGGAGGCAGCAGUGGGGAAUAUUGCACAAUGGGCGCAAGCCUGAUGCAGCGACGCCGCGUGCGGGAUGACGGCCUUCGGGUUGUAAACCGCUUUUGAUCGGGAGCAAGCCUUCGGGUGAGUGUACCUUUCGAAUAAGCACCGGCUAACUACGUGCCAGCAGCCGCGGUAAUACGUAGGGUGCAAGCGUUAUCCGGAAUUAUUGGGCGUAAAGGGCUCGUAGGCGGUUCGUCGCGUCCGGUGUGAAAGUCCAUCGCUUAACGGUGGAUCUGCGCCGGGUACGGGCGGGCUGGAGUGCGGUAGGGGAGACUGGAAUUCCCGGUGUAACGGUGGAAUGUGUAGAUAUCGGGAAGAACACCAAUGGCGAAGGCAGGUCUCUGGGCCGUUACUGACGCUGAGGAGCGAAAGCGUGGGGAGCGAACAGGAUUAGAUACCCUGGUAGUCCACGCCGUAAACGGUGGAUGCUGGAUGUGGGGCCCGUUCCACGGGUUCCGUGUCGGAGCUAACGCGUUAAGCAUCCCGCCUGGGGAGUACGGCCGCAAGGCUAAAACUCAAAGAAAUUGACGGGGGCCCGCACAAGCGGCGGAGCAUGCGGAUUAAUUCGAUGCAACGCGAAGAACCUUACCUGGGCUUGACAUGUUCCCGACAGCCGUAGAGAUAUGGCCUCCCUUCGGGGCGGGUUCACAGGUGGUGCAUGGUCGUCGUCAGCUCGUGUCGUGAGAUGUUGGGUUAAGUCCCGCAACGAGCGCAACCCUCGCCCUGUGUUGCCAGCACGUCAUGGUGGGAACUCACGGGGGACCGCCGGGGUCAACUCGGAGGAAGGUGGGGAUGACGUCAGAUCAUCAUGCCCCUUACGUCCAGGGCUUCACGCAUGCUACAAUGGCCGGUACAACGGGAUGCGACACGGCGACGUGGAGCGGAUCCCUGAAAACCGGUCUCAGUUCGGAUUGGAGUCUGCAACCCGACUCCAUGAAGGCGGAGUCGCUAGUAAUCGCGGAUCAGCAACGCCGCGGUGAAUGCGUUCCCGGGCCUUGUACACACCGCCCGUCAAGUCAUGAAAGUGGGUAGCACCCGAAGCCGGUGGCCUAACCCUUUGUGGAUGGAGCCGUCUAAGGUGAGACUCGUGAUUGGGACUAAGUCGUAACAAGGUAGCCGUACCGGAAGGUGCGGCUG
RNAcentral lists this ribosomal RNA (1508 nucleotides) under human gut metagenome. RNAcentral's name for it is "bacterial SSU rRNA". It matches the Rfam family "Bacterial small subunit ribosomal RNA". The record is from RNAcentral.